This 1325-nucleotide long non-coding RNA is filed under the name Mustela putorius furo (domestic ferret). Its description in RNAcentral is "lncRNA (ENSMPUG00000028547.1)". Lineage: Eukaryota; Metazoa; Chordata; Mammalia; Carnivora; Mustelidae. The record is from RNAcentral.
AUGUGGGAUCUUGCUGACUGCCAACGCAAUAGCUAUUUCCUUUCUUUCUUACUAAUCCAACCCUGGGUAGGGGUAAUGAAGUCCAGGCUAGAUCAUUGCAUCUGCUCUGUUCUCAAGGAAAUGAUGUUGCCCCCUGGAGGACAGUUUGGGAAUUAUUGUGGGAAAUUUGUGUUUAUUUCCAGGUUGUCAAAUGGUUCCAAUGCGGACAGUAUUGCUCCCUCCAGAGCGUUUUGGAAGUUUGCAGGGACUUUUUUGGACAUCACAAUAAUGAAGGCUUGUUACUGGUGCUGGAAAACAGGGAUCUGCAACAUGACCUUGCACUUCACAAAGUUUCUAUUUAUAUUUAUGUGGCUGUUUUAUCUCUUCCACUGGAUUAUGACUGUCCUUAAAAGCAGAGCUGUGUAUGAUCCAUGGGAUUUUACAGAAGUGGCAGUGUGUGACUUCCAAGGCUGAGUUAUAAAAGACAUUGAUGGGGUGCCUCAUUUGGUAAGUGUCUGCUAUCGGCUCAGGUCAUGAUCCGGGAUCCUGGGGUCCAGUCCAGCACUGGGCUCCCUGCUCCGCAGAGAGUCGGCUUCUUCCUCUGCUGCUCCCCCUGCUCAUGCUCUCUCCCAAAUAAAUAUGUUAAAAAAAAAAUAAAAGACAUUUCUGCUUUCACCUUGCUCUCAUGGAUCACUCAGUUUGGGGGAAGCCAGCCCCCAUGUCAUGAGGACAUUCACAAAGCCUGGCGGUUGUGCCCAUGUGGAGUGGAAUUGAGGCUCCCAGCCAUCAGCCCAUGUCAACUUGCCAGCCAUAAGGAGUGAGUCACCUUGGGAAGGGAUCUUUUAUCACAAGCCAUCAGAUGACUGUAGUCCCAGCUGACAUCCGACCCCAUGCUCAUGAAAGACCUUGUGCCAGAACAGCCCAGAUAAGCUGCUCUGAAUCCCAGACCCACAGAAACCAUAAGAGAUAAUAACUAUUUAUUGUUAAGUCUCUAAUUUUUUACAUGAUUUGUUCACAUCUAUAACCAAGAGUAAGCAUUGGCCAAACAUUUUUUUUUUUUUUUGAGUGAUAUUGUGAUCUUGGAUGAAUUCCUACCCCUUUCUGAGCCCCAGAGUUGUGGUCUGUAAAAGGGGAUGAAAUAUCCAUCUCUGAGGUUCAUAGAGUAUGUACCUCAGGGGCAAGAUCGGAGCACAUGGUAGAAGCUUAAUAUAUCUCCAGAAGUAUACCUCCAAUGAAGCAUGUGAGCCACACCACCUGGGUUUGAAUCCCAGUUUCACUACUUCUAAGGUAAGACUUCGUUCAGGCUACUAAUACUUAACUUUCCUGGACCUUAGACCCCUCAGCUG